This 114-nucleotide non-coding RNA is filed under the name Bathycoccus prasinos. Lineage: Eukaryota; Viridiplantae; Chlorophyta; Mamiellophyceae; Mamiellales; Bathycoccaceae. The record is from RNAcentral.
UUUUUUUCUUGAUGAAAGUCAAUUUUGUUUUCUUUUUUCCUUUGUUUUCUUCGUCGUCAUUUUCAUCGUCGUCAUCCGAGGAAAAAGAAGACGAGGAAGAAGACGGAGGCGUAU